Poeciliopsis prolifica (blackstripe livebearer) is the source of this 234-nucleotide long non-coding RNA. RefSeq lists it as uncharacterized. NCBI's taxonomy places the organism in Eukaryota, Metazoa, Chordata, Actinopteri, Cyprinodontiformes, Poeciliidae. The record is from RefSeq and is a predicted model, not a curated record. The transcript is spliced from 3 exons.
UUAAAUCACCUUAAUAUUCACCAAAGAGUCCAGAAAUCAUUUGGAUUUAUACAGCUCCUCCACCUCUUCAGGACAGUUUGACACUGUUUGUGUUUUUUUAUAUCUCUAACAAUUUUCUGACUCAAAGAUGGACGAACCAUUUGAGAAGAGAGAAAAUGCAUGUGAGGAUCAUGAGAUGGACACGGAGGCCAGCGACCUGCUCAACGACCUGCAAGGUUCGCUCAACAACGUUCU